RNAcentral lists this non-coding RNA (47 nucleotides) under Trypanosoma brucei brucei. Lineage: Eukaryota; Euglenozoa; Kinetoplastea; Trypanosomatida; Trypanosomatidae. The record is from RNAcentral.
AUAACUACACAGAACAUAGAUAAGAGUCAGAUAGUAUAAAGUGAUAU